Molecule: ribosomal RNA, 169 nt
Filed under: uncultured bacterium
Lineage: Bacteria
Description: partial 16S ribosomal RNA
Rfam family: Bacterial small subunit ribosomal RNA
Source: RNAcentral
CCUACGGGAGGCAGCAGUGGGGAAUAUUGGACAAUGGGCGCAAGCCUGAUCCAGCAAUGCCGCGUGAGUGAGGAAGGCCUUAGGGUUGUAAAGCUCUUUCACCCGCGACGAUGAUGACGGUAGCGGGAGAAGAAGCCCCGGCUAACUACGUGCCAGCAGCCGCGGUAAU